GAUUGCUGUGUCCCUUUGGUAGUGAUUUUGGAGGGGAAUCCCAGAGCCAUUUGGUUUGAAGGGGACCUUCAAAGGCCAGCCUGUCUUCCGUGGGCAGGGACACCUUCCACUGUCCCCGGUUGCUCCGAGUCCCGUCCAGCCUGGCCUGGAACACGUGCAGGGAUGGGGCAGGCUCAGCUUCCCUGUGCAGUGUGCUCUAAUAUCUCUCCACUGGCAUCCUGAAAAAUGUUGUCAGCGUGUUUUGUUGGCCGACGGUAAGCAGGACCUGGGUGAAAAGGACAUUCUCUGAGGUGCUGGGAGAAGGAGGACUCGUGCGGGCACCUCCAGAGACAGCGGGAACGGGAGCGUGCUGCGGAGAAGGAAAAUUCCAGGGGAAUUGCCACGAGAGGAAAUACUUCAGAGGGGCUUCCCUCCAGCUAAGCCCUGAAUAUGCCAGGAGGUUUCAGCCGGGAGGAAAGGAGCUGUGGAAGAAAAGCAGCCUAAAAAUAGCCAGCGGGGAUCAUCAGGUUUUCCAGCCAAGAAGAACAAGGAGAGAGAUGAGGGAAUCGGGUUCCAAUUCCUAAUGAUUUGGUGGGUGCAGGAAUGAUUUCUGUGUGUUUUCCAGUCCCUUUUGAUUCCUGAGAUGAUUUUAAAAUGAUGGCUUUAGCAAUCAACUAAAUCGGAGAUGUUGUUUUUGAGAGGAAAUGAUGCCAAAUAAAUGCAGAGUUUUGGGUCAGUUUUUGGGAUGAUUUGAGUCAGUUUUUGGGGUCAGUUUGGGGUCAUUGUUUGGGGUGAUUUGGGUCACUUUUGGGAUGAUUUGGGUCAGGUUUUGGGGUCAGUUUUGGGUCAGCUUUUGGGGUGAUUUGGGUCGGUUUGGGGUCAAUUUUUGGGGAGCACUGGGUGUUACUGGUGGUUGUUGGGGAGCACUGGGUGUUACUGGGGAGCACUGGGAGAGCAAAUGAAAAAUAAA
Molecule: long non-coding RNA, 949 nt
Organism: Pseudopipra pipra
Lineage: Eukaryota; Metazoa; Chordata; Aves; Passeriformes; Pipridae
Exons: 3
Source: RefSeq, a predicted model, not a curated record